Molecule: long non-coding RNA, 520 nt
Organism: Amphiprion ocellaris (clown anemonefish)
Lineage: Eukaryota; Metazoa; Chordata; Actinopteri; Pomacentridae
Source: Ensembl
CGGAAGAAGAGCAUCUACAGCAACACAAUAAUACGACAACAGACUGGAAACAGGGUGUGGAGUGUGACACCGGCUUCUAUGGAGGAGAUGGACCACAGGUGUGCUGCCUGGAGUUCAGCUGAUGGGUGAUUAGAGAUGAACAGCAGCUGGACAGAGCUUCAGCAGGCAGAACAUCUGGAUGCGAGAACGCCCAAAUCUCCAGUUUCAUUUCCAGCGUUACGAGCAGGAAAAGGCUCUGAGAGUUCAGAUUCCUGUCGGGCCUCUUCGGCCUGUCAGCCAGACGGAGACGUGAGCUCUGCUGGAGGGGAAACGUGGAAAAAAAAACGCCAACAUAAACUGUGGCGAGACACUGAAGCAGCCUUUGUGCAGCGGCAGCAGCUGUGAGCAGAUCCUGGAGCUUCGGUGGGGGUCGACGGAUUCUUCAGCUCAGACGUCACCAGAAACACCCUGAACCUGGACGUGGUGAGUUCGAGGACCCGUCUGAGGGGAGGAAAUCCCUCCUUUGUUUCCCAGGAAGCAG